This 791-nucleotide unclassified non-coding RNA is filed under the name Leishmania donovani. Its description in RNAcentral is "gene:unknown". The record is from RNAcentral. Lineage: Eukaryota; Euglenozoa; Kinetoplastea; Trypanosomatida; Trypanosomatidae.
AUUCAUAGUCGUUUCAUUUCAGAAAGGUUCUCAAUCGAGUUGCAGCUUCCGCGUGAGAGUGAAGAAUGGCCGCAGGAUUGCCGCGUGCGCUUUGCUGCACUCUUCUUCCAGUUCAGAAAGUAAUUUCCUUGUUGGUUCCGCUGGCCACAAAGGAUGCAAUUCUGGAGGCUCUCUCUAGGCAAACGGAUAGCUCUCCAGAAACGUUUGAACUCUAUGUGAAAGAGAACAGCAAGCUCAUUGCGGUGAGAGAGGAGAUAGGCAGCUGUGACUCUCUUUUCGCUCUCGUGAGGUGUCGCGGGGGUGGCAAAGGCGGCUUUCGCAAGCAGCUUGAGAAGAAGGGUCGCGGAUUCGCGCGUGCAAAGAUGAAGGCAAAGCGCAAAAGCACGAAAGCGAUGCCUCAAGAAGGGAAAACUCAGCACAAGAAACGCGACACAGUGGCAGUGAAAACAAGACUUGCGAAGGCUGAGCCAAGCUCGACGAGAACGAUCGUAAAGCAAGGUCUUGCAUUUGUCAUAGAUUCCUUUCAAAAAGGGAGCCAUUCCUAAUCUGGUUGGUUUCUGUGCAUCACAAGCAUCUCUGCAAAAGACAAAAAAAUGCUGGAAAGCAGACACCAUAACUUACAGGUAUAUUCUUAUGCUUAUUUGCUCGGCGACGACCCGCCAGGCUCUUCAUCUCAGACGACUCAUACGGUGCCGUGCCAGUGUGACACAGCAAGCGGACGCAAGCAAGCUCGCAACACUUCUCUCUGCUCUUAGCUGACGCUUUCAUUUUUUUCCCUCCGUCAACUCCAG